UACAGAGGUCUCGAGCGUUGUUCGGAUCCAUUGGGCGUAAAGGGUGCGUAGGUGGCGCCGUAAGUCGGGUGUGAAAUUUCGGAGCUUAACUCCGAAACUGCAUUCGAUACUGCGGUGCUUGAGGACUGGAGAGGAGACUGGAAUUCAUGGUGUAGCAGUGAAAUGCGUAGAGAUCAUGAGGAACACCUGUGGCGAAAGCGGCGCACUGGACCAUAACUGACGCUGAGGCGCGAAAGCUAGGGGAGCAAACAGG
Molecule: ribosomal RNA, 253 nt
Filed under: uncultured bacterium
Lineage: Bacteria
Description: partial 16S ribosomal RNA
Rfam family: Bacterial small subunit ribosomal RNA
Source: RNAcentral